Molecule: ribosomal RNA, 445 nt
Filed under: uncultured bacterium
Lineage: Bacteria
Description: partial 16S ribosomal RNA
Rfam family: Bacterial small subunit ribosomal RNA
Source: RNAcentral
GUAAGGAAUAUUGGACAAUGGACGCAAGUCUGAUCCAGCCAUGCCGCGUGAAGGAUUAAGGUCCUCUGGAUUGUAAACUUCUUUUAUAAGGGACGAAAAAAGGCUUUUCUAAGUCGUCUGACGGUACCUUAUGAAUAAGCACCGGCUAACUCCGUGCCAGCAGCCGCGGUAAUACGGAGGGUGCAAGCGUUAUCCGGAUUCACUGGGUUUAAAGGGUGCGUAGGCGGGCAGGUAAGUCAGUGGUGAAAUCCUAGAGCUUAACUCUAGAACUGCCAGUGAUACUAUCUGUCUUGAAUAUUGUGGAGGUAAGCGGAAUAUGUCAUGUAGCGGUGAAAUGCUUAGAUAUGACAUAGAACACCUAUUGCGAAGGCAGCUUACUACGCAUAUAUUGACGCUGAGGCACGAAAGCGUGGGGAUCAAACAGGAUUAGAAACCCGGGUAGUCC